RNAcentral lists this ribosomal RNA (450 nucleotides) under uncultured bacterium. RNAcentral's name for it is "partial 16S ribosomal RNA". It matches the Rfam family "Bacterial small subunit ribosomal RNA", at positions 354 to 796 of the family's 1533-position model. The record is from RNAcentral.
GUGGGGAAUUUUGGACAAUGGGCGCAAGCCUGAUCCAGCAAUGCCGCGUGCAGGAAGAAGGCCUUCGGGUUGUAAACUGCUUUUGUACGGAACGAAACGGCUCUGGUUAAUACCCGGGGCUAAUGACGGUACCGUAAGAAUAAGCACCGGCUAACUACGUGCCAGCAGCCGCGGUAAUACGUAGGGUGCAAGCGUUAAUCGGAAUUACUGGGCGUAAAGCGUGCGCAGGCGGUUUUGUAAGACAGGCGUGAAAUCCCCGGGCUCAACCUGGGAAUUGCGCUUGUGACUGCAAGGCUGGAGUGCGGCAGAGGGGGAUGGAAUUCCGCGUGUAGCAGUGAAAUGCGUAGAUAUGCGGAGGAACACCGAUGGCGAAGGCAAUCCCCUGGGCCUGCACUGACGCUCAUGCACGAAAGCGUGGGGAGCAAACAGGAUUAGAUACCCUUGUAGUCC